RNAcentral lists this unclassified non-coding RNA (329 nucleotides) under soil metagenome. RNAcentral's name for it is "partial contains 5.8S ribosomal RNA, internal transcribed spacer 2, and large subunit ribosomal RNA". The stretch from base 1 to 120 matches the Rfam family "5.8S ribosomal RNA", at positions 35 to 154 of the family's 154-position model. The record is from RNAcentral.
GAUGAAGAACGUAGCGAAAUGCGAUAAGUAAUGUGAAUUGCAGAAUUCAGUGAAUCAUCGAAUCUUUGAACGCACAUUGCGCCCUCUGGUAUUCCGGGGGGCAUGCCUGUUCGAGCGUCAUUAUAACCACUCAAGCUCUCGCUUGGUAUUGGGGUUCGUGGUUCCGCGGCCCCUAAAAUCAGUGGCGGUGCCUGUCGGCUCUACGCGUAGUAAUACUCCUCGCGAUUGAGUCCGGUAGGUCUACUUGCCAGCAACCCCCAAUUUUUACAGGUUGACCUCGGAUCAGGUAGGGAUACCCGCUGAACUUAAGCAUAUCAAUAAGCGGAGGA